GGCGAGAUGGCCGAGCGGUCUAAGGCGCCAGACUAAGGUUUCUGAAUCAUGACAGAUUCGUACUGUUAUCUGGUCCGAAAGGGCGUGGGUUCGAAUCCCACUCUCGUCA
Non-coding RNA from Obba rivulosa, 109 nucleotides. The record is from the annotation of a GenBank genome assembly. NCBI's taxonomy places the organism in Eukaryota, Fungi, Basidiomycota, Agaricomycetes, Polyporales, Gelatoporiaceae.